CCUACGGGCGGCAGCAGUCGAGAAUCAUUCACAAUGGGGGAAACCCUGAUGGUGCGACGCCGCGUGGGGGAAUGAAGGUCUUCGGAUUGUAAACCCCUGUCAUGUGGGAGCAAAUUAAAAAGAUAGUACCACAAGAGGAAGAGACGGCUAACUCUGUGCCAGCAGCCGCGGUAAUACAGAGGUCUCAAGCGUUGUUCGGAAUCACUGGGCGUAAAGCGUGCGUAGGCUGUUUCGUAAGUCGUGUGUGAAAGGCGCGGGCUCAACCCGCGGACGGCACAUGAUACUGCGAGACUAGAGUAAGGGAGAGGGAACCGGAAUUCUCGGUGUAGCAGUGAAAUGCGUAGAUAUCGGGAGGAACACUCGUGGCGAAGGCGGGUUCCUGGACAUUAACUGACGCUGAGGCACGAAGGCCAGGGGAGCGAAAGGGAUUAGAUACCCCAGUAGUC
Molecule: ribosomal RNA, 446 nt
Filed under: uncultured bacterium
Lineage: Bacteria
Description: partial 16S ribosomal RNA
Rfam family: Bacterial small subunit ribosomal RNA
Source: RNAcentral